Molecule: ribosomal RNA, 352 nt
Filed under: uncultured Thermus sp.
Lineage: Bacteria; Thermotogati; Deinococcota; Deinococci; Thermales; Thermaceae
Description: bacterial SSU rRNA
Rfam family: Bacterial small subunit ribosomal RNA
Source: RNAcentral
UAGCACAGGUGCUGCAUGGCCGUCGUCAGCUCGUGCCGUGAGGUGUUGGGUUAAGUCCCGCAACGAGCGCAACCCCCGCCGUUAGUUGCCAGCGGUUCGGCCGGGCACUCUAACGGGACUGCCCGCGAAAGCGGGAGGAAGGAGGGGACGACGUCUGGUCAGCAUGGCCCUUACGGCCUGGGCGACACACGUGCUACAAUGCCCACUACAAAGCGAUGCCACCCGGCAACGGGGAGCUAAUCGCAAAAAGGUGGGCCCAGUUCGGAUUGGGGUCUGCAACCCGACCCCAUGAAGCCGGAAUCGCUAGUAAUCGCGGAUCAGCCAUGCCGCGGUGAAUACGUUCCCGGGCCUU